This 433-nucleotide ribosomal RNA is filed under the name uncultured bacterium. RNAcentral describes it as "partial 16S ribosomal RNA". It matches the Rfam family "Bacterial small subunit ribosomal RNA", at positions 29 to 507 of the family's 1533-position model. The record is from RNAcentral.
AACGAACGCUGGCGGCAUGCCUAACACAUGCAAGUCGAACGAGACCUUCGGGUCUAGUGGCGCACGGGGGCGUAACGCGGGGGAACCUGCCCUUAGGUUCGGAAUAACUCCCCGAAAGGGGUGCUAAUACCGGAUAAGGUCUUCGGACCAAAGAUUUAUCGCCUUUGGAUGGGCCCGGGUUGGAUUAGCUAGUUGGGAGGGUAAAAGCCUACCAAGGCGACGAUCCAUAGCUGGUCUGAGAGGAUGACUAGCCACACUGGGACUGCGACACGGCCCCGUCUCCGACGCGAGGCAGCAGUGGGGAAUAUUGGACAAUGGACGAAAGCCUGAUCCAGCCAUGCCGCGUGAGUGAUGAAGCGCUUAGGGUUGUAAAGCUCUUUUACCCGGGAUGAUAAUGACAGUACCGGGAGAAUAAGCUCCGGCUAACUCCGUG